This 206-nucleotide long non-coding RNA is filed under the name Elaeis guineensis (African oil palm). RNAcentral describes it as "long non-coding RNA (EGUI_LNC048230)". Lineage: Eukaryota; Viridiplantae; Streptophyta; Magnoliopsida; Arecales; Arecaceae. The record is from RNAcentral.
UCUUGGUAUGGGUGCAUUUUGCUUAUAAAGUACCAAUCUAAAUCGAUUGAAAUGUUCAAAUGAUUCUAUAAUAAGAUAGAAAAAUAAAAUGCAAAGAGUAUUAGAACUCAUCGAUCAGAUCGAUGAAGUAAAUACCUUUACAGUAAGUUUUAGACAUAUUUAGAAGAGAAUUGGAUUCUCUCUUAAUGGACCUUUCCUAAGACACC